RNAcentral lists this ribosomal RNA (315 nucleotides) under Ehrlichia canis. Its description in RNAcentral is "bacterial SSU rRNA". It matches the Rfam family "Bacterial small subunit ribosomal RNA", at positions 91 to 423 of the family's 1533-position model. The record is from RNAcentral. Lineage: Bacteria; Pseudomonadati; Pseudomonadota; Alphaproteobacteria; Rickettsiales; Anaplasmataceae.
GUUAGUGGCAGACGGGUGAGUAAUGCGUAGGAAUCUACCUAGUAGUACGGAAUAGCCAUUAGAAAUGGUGGGUAAUACUGUAUAAUCCCCGAGGGGGAAAGAUUUAUCGCUAUUAGAUGAGCCUACGUUAGAUUAGCUAGUUGGUGAGGUAAUGGCUUACCAAGGCUAUGAUCUAUAGCUGGUCUGAGAGGACGAUCAGCCACACUGGAACUGAGAUACGGUCCAGACUCCUACGGGAGGCAGCAGUGGGGAAUAUUGGACAAUGGGCGAAAGCCUGAUCCAGCUAUGCCGCGUGAGUGAAGAAGGCCUUCGGGU